Molecule: ribosomal RNA, 382 nt
Filed under: uncultured eukaryote
Lineage: Eukaryota
Description: partial 18S ribosomal RNA
Rfam family: Eukaryotic small subunit ribosomal RNA
Source: RNAcentral
CAAUAGCGUAUAUUAAAGUUGUUGCAGUUAAAAAGCUCGUAGUUGGAUUUCUGGUGUUCCUGGUUGGUCUGCCCGAUAGGGUACGCACUGGCCGCGAGCAUCUUCCUUCUGAAGACGGUGUCUGCACUUAACUGUGUUGGACACUCGGAUUCAGAUCGUUUACUUUGAAAAAAUUAGAGUGUUCAAAGCAGGCCAAUGCCUUGAAUACAUUAGCAUGGAAUAAUAGAAUAGGACUUCAGUUCUAUUUUGUUGGUUUCUAGGACCGGAGUAAUGAUUAAUAGGGAUAGUUGGGGGCAUUCAUAUUUAAUUGCUAGAGGUGAAAUUCUCAGAUUUAUGAAAGAUGAACUUCUGCGAAAGCAUUUGCCAAGGAUGUUUUCAUUAA